RNAcentral lists this ribosomal RNA (407 nucleotides) under Mandarina ponderosa. RNAcentral describes it as "partial 16S ribosomal RNA". The record is from RNAcentral. Lineage: Eukaryota; Metazoa; Mollusca; Gastropoda; Stylommatophora; Camaenidae.
AGUUUUGAGCUAAAUAUAUUAUAAUAUUAGUUAUUUAUAAAGGUGUUGUAAAACCUUAUUAAAAAUUAUAUUUAGGGGUGAUAGGCCUUUCAAAAACUAAGAUAUCUUGAAUCUAAUUAAAGGUAUGUAGUACAUUCGACACAACUAUUAAGUGAUUAGGCUUUAUAGAAUUAUUAACUUAUAAAGAUUUUAUUUACUAUAAUUUAAUAAUUAAGUAUGUAAAUAUAUUAAUAUAUAUAUAUUAUAAUUUAUAAAAAGUAAUUAGAUAAAUUAAAGUUCAUAAAUUUUGUAAUAAUGUUAAUAUUAGUAUUAAGUUUAUAUUUAUAUGAUGAACUCGGCAAAAAUGCUUCUCAACUGUUUAUCAAAAACAUAACUAUGUGAAUUAAUACAUAGCGGUUUCUGCUCAA